UUUCUAGGAUGGUCAUUCCACACCUGUGCUUGCGGAAGUGGCAAUGAUGCUUAGGUUGAUGAAUGCACCGCGAUGUCCAAACAUCAUCAGAUUACACGACUGGAUUGAGAUUGGGAACAACUUUGUUCUCAUUCUGGAGUAUGCAGAGUCAUGCCAGACCUUGCAUGAGUACAUCAAAGAUACAGGGGAAGUUGAAGAAAAUCAAGCACGCCGGUUAAUACGUCAGUUGAUCCGAGCUGUAAUGUUCUGCACUGAGCGUGGAGUUUUCCAUGGUGAUAUACACACGGCGAACAUCCUGGUGACUCUACCCCGACUAGAGCUCAAACUGAUAGACUUCGGGUGUGCUCAGCCAAUUACCCAAGAGCCUUUCAACAAAAGUGACUAUCGAGGUGAGUUGGCAUUUUGUGUUAGUUUCUUUGGUCACAGUAUUGUCUUAUGAAAUGACUGAAUUCUGGAAAUGUCUCUCUUACAGGAGCUGGACAAAGCAUGCCACCUGAGGCUUUGAUGUGUCGUGUAUUCCAUGCUAACCCGGCAUACGUCUGGACAAUAGGCAUCAUGCUGUAUGAAAUAAUGCAUGGACGACUGGCCUUUAAUAACACACAUUCAAUAGUGUUUGGCUCCAUUCAUAUAAACACCAGAUUAUCUACAGCAUGCGUGGACCUGAUUUCCCAGUGUUUGAUCCGUAAUCCAGCUAAACGGCUACAGUUACACCAGGUAGAAGAGCACUGCUGGUUCAAUCCAACGACCCCAAAUCCUGUGAAGCAGUUAUACAAGAGGAG
Molecule: non-coding RNA, 779 nt
Organism: Danio rerio (zebrafish)
Lineage: Eukaryota; Metazoa; Chordata; Actinopteri; Cypriniformes; Danionidae
Source: RefSeq, a predicted model, not a curated record